Cuculus canorus (common cuckoo) is the source of this 463-nucleotide long non-coding RNA. RefSeq lists it as uncharacterized. The record is from RefSeq and is a predicted model, not a curated record. Lineage: Eukaryota; Metazoa; Chordata; Aves; Cuculiformes; Cuculidae. The transcript is spliced from 3 exons.
CAGCAUAACAGCAACAUUGCCGUGCAGAGCUUUAGAGAGAGCACACUAUGUUCUUGCCUUGCUUCUGGAAGGGGGUUUGUCUCGAUUCGUGUUUCAAGAUGAGUAGGAAGGAGGAUGAAAUACGUGUAUGGAAGAAGACAGAAAGGAAAAGUAGACAUCAGCAUCAUCUGUGCUCUCCCACGAAGAUAAAUUGAACGCUAUAAAAAAAGUGAGGAUAUGAAGGAUGAUGCAUCUUAAUUUUUAAAGAUUGCGUGACCUCUCUCUCCCUUGAUGAAUUGUUUGAAACAGUAACAGUUAUUACAUUAAUGAUGCCCCAUCGCCUCUGGACUCCUGCUGCUCCGCUGCAGAAGCCACAGAUACAUGAUUGAUCCCGCAAAGAUAAGGCACAGAAUGGUUAUCAAGACUCCUAUCGUUAAACUCUUAUUAUCUGCAACAAAACACAUUGACUUCUAUCAAGAACCAC